GGCAGUCCCGGAGGGCCUAAGAAGCCGCACCGCCUCCUUCCGCCGCACGCGGUUCCAGCGCGAUGCCCAAAUCCAAGCGCGACAAGAAAGUUUCCUUAACGAAAACCACCAAGAAAGGCUUAGAACUGAAACAGAACCUGAUCGAAGAACUUCGGAAGUGUGUGGACACGUACAAGUACCUCUUCAUUUUCUCUGUGGCCAACAUGAGGAACAGCAAACUGAAGGACAUCCGGAAUGCCUGGAAACACAGCCGAAUGUUCUUUGGCAAGAACAAGGUGAUGAUGGUGGCCUUGGGUCGAAGCCCAUCUGAUGAAUACAAAGACAACCUGCACCAGGUCAGUAAGAAGUUGAGGGGUGAAGUUGGCCUCCUUUUUACCAACCGCACGAAAGAAGAAGUCAAUGAGUGGUUUACAAAAUACACGGAAAUGGACUUUGCUCGAGCUGGUAACAAAGCAACUUUUACCGUGAGCCUGGAUCCAGGGCCCCUGGAGCAGUUCCCCCACUCCAUGGAACCACAGCUGAGACAGCUGGGGCUGCCCACAGCCCUCAAGAAAGGUGUGGUGACCCUGCUGUCCGACUAUGAGGUGUGCAAGGAGGGUGAGGUGCUGACCCCAGAGCAGGCCCGUAUCCUGAAGCUUUUUGGAUACGAGAUGGCCGAAUUCAAGGUGACCAUCAAAUAUAUGUGGGAUGCACAGUCGAGCAGGUUCCAGCAGAUGGGCGAUGACGACUUGCCGGAGAGCGCACCUGAGUCCUCGGAAGACUCGGAGGAGGAGGAGGAAGACGACUGACUCAGACUCCGGACCUAAGACCUCCUGGCACGUUCUGGUCUCCCCAGGCCCACACAGGACUGCAGCAUGGCUCUGAGGGAGCAGCUAUUUAUUUUACUGUGGAGAAGGAUAAAGAGUGAUGGGAACUGACUUUAUUACCAUAAAGAAUAAAACUUAAAGCAGGGUGUCCCCCGUAGGUGGCAAGAGACUCUUAGAGAAAGGCCUUCAGCUGACCACAAAGAUUUUCUGGGAGCAGGCGGCAGAACUCAGUGGUGGAGCACCUGCCUAGCACGCCUGCGGCCCUAAGGUUCAUCCCCUUGCCUGGAGGAAGGAAAGCUUCACAGAGGCGAGAACAAGCUGACUACAGGCCUUUCCAGGUUCCCCACUCAAUACCGCAGGGUUCAGAGCACUUCUGGGGGUGUGAACACAGUUCCCGGGGGAGCCAUACCUCACUCUCUACAGCCCUUCACCUGUAUUCUUUCAAUCCCCUUUACGAUAAAGCGGUCAGGUGGUUGGUGUUUCCCUGAGUUCUGUGAGUUGCUUAAGCAAAUUAACAACUGAGGAAGGGAAUGUGGGAACCCUGAUUUGUAGUGGGACAGUCACACAGGUAAAGCAGGUCUGGGGAUUUAGCACAGUGGUGCUGCUGCCUGCCUCACAAGGACAAGGUUCUGAGUUCGAUCCCCAGUAUCCAAGGGAAAAAAAAAAAAAGCCAUAAAGAAAGCUUGCAAUUGGCAUCUGGAUGGGGGGUGGUCUUGGCUGAGGCAACUGGAGGAAAUGAAUCAGAUUUGGGACACCAGCAGAUGCUCGCUGCUGAUGAUGCUGAGGGCAGAGGGAAAGCUGGCGGUUUUUCUGAUACGGUGC
RNA transcript from Fukomys damarensis (Damara mole-rat), 1628 nucleotides. It is a transcript of the gene named MRT4 homolog, ribosome maturation factor, with no coding region annotated. Lineage: Eukaryota; Metazoa; Chordata; Mammalia; Rodentia; Bathyergidae. The transcript has 9 exons. The record is from RefSeq and is a predicted model, not a curated record.